Molecule: ribosomal RNA, 372 nt
Filed under: uncultured organism
Description: bacterial SSU rRNA
Rfam family: Bacterial small subunit ribosomal RNA
Source: RNAcentral
CGUAGGGUGCAAGCGUUGUCCGGAAUUAUUGGGCGUAAAGAGCUCGUAGGCGGUCUGUCGCGUCUGCUGUGAAAACUCAGGGCUUAACCCUGAGCUUGCAGUGGGUACGGGCAGACUAGAGUGCGGUAGGGGAGACUGGAAUUCCUGGUGUAGCGGUGAAAUGCGCAGAUAUCAGGAGGAACACCGGUGGCGAAGGCGGGUCUCUGGGCCGUAACUGACGCUGAGGAGCGAAAGCAUGGGGAGCGAACAGGAUUAGAUACCCUGGUAGUCCAUGCCGUAAACGUUGGGCGCUAGGUGUGGGCUCAUUCCACGAGUUCCGUGCCGCAGCUAACGCAUUAAGCGCCCCGCCUGGGGAGUACGGCCGCAAGGCUA